RNAcentral lists this ribosomal RNA (460 nucleotides) under uncultured bacterium. RNAcentral's name for it is "partial 16S ribosomal RNA". It matches the Rfam family "Bacterial small subunit ribosomal RNA", at positions 338 to 795 of the family's 1533-position model. The record is from RNAcentral.
CCUACGGGUGGCAGCAGUGAGGAAUAUUGGUCAAUGGACGAGAGUCUGAACCAGCCAAGUAGCGUGAAGGAUGACUGCCCUAUGGGUUGUAAACUUCUUUUAGAUGGGAAUAAAAUGUUCCACGUGUGGGAUUUUGUAUGUACCAUAUGAAUAAGGAUCGGCUAACUCCGUGCCAGCAGCCGCGGUAAUACGGAGGAUCCGAGCGUUAUCAGGAUUUAUUGGGCUUAAAGGGAGCGUAGGUGGAGUGUUAAGUCAGUUGGGAAAGUUUGCGGCUCAACCGUAAAAUUGCAGUUGAAACUGGCAGUCUUGAGUACAGUAGAGGUGGGCGGAAUUCGUGGUGUAGCGGUGAAAUGCUUAGAUAUCACGAAGAACUCCGAUUGCGUAGGCAGUUCACUGGACUGCAACUGACACUGAGGCUCGAAAGUGUGGGUAUCAAACAGGAUUAGAUACCCUUGUAGUC